RNAcentral lists this ribosomal RNA (406 nucleotides) under uncultured bacterium. RNAcentral describes it as "partial 16S ribosomal RNA". It matches the Rfam family "Bacterial small subunit ribosomal RNA", at positions 29 to 526 of the family's 1533-position model. The record is from RNAcentral.
AUUGAACGCUGGCGGCAGGCCUAACACAUGCAAGUCGAACGAGUGGCGGACGGGUGAGUAAUGUCUGGGAAACCGCCCGAUGGAGGGGGAUAACUAAUGGAAAAGGUAGCUAAUACCGCAUACAAUCGGAUGUGCCCCGAGGGGAUUAGCUAGUGGGGUGGGGAACGUCUCACCUAGGCGACGAUCCCUAGCUGGUCUGGGAGGAUGACCAGCCACACGUGAACUGAGCAACGGCCCGGACUCCUACGGUAGGCAGCAGUGGGGAAUCUUGCACGAUGGACGCAAGCCUGAUCCAGCCAUGCCGCGUGUAUGAAGAAGGCCUUAGGGUGGUAAAGUACUUUCAGCGGGGAGGCGUUACCCGCAGAGAAGGCACCGGCUAACUCCGUGCCAGCCGCCGCGGUAAUAC